CCUCGAAUCAGGUGGGACUACCCGCUGAACUUAAGCAUAUCAAUAAGCGGAGGAAAAGAAACUAACAAGGAUUCCCCUAGUAACGGCGAGUGAAGCGGGAUGAGCUCAAAUUUAAAAUCUGAUAGUCUUUGGCUGUCCGAGUUGUAAUCUAGAGAAGUGUUUUCCGCGUUGGACCAUGUACAAGUUUCCUGGAACGGAACGUCAUAGAGGGUGAGAAUCCCGUCCUUGACAUGGACUACCAGUGCUUUGUGAUACACUCUCAACGAGUCGAGUUGUUUGGGAUUGCAGCUCAAAAUGGGAGGUAAAUUCCUUCCAAAGCUAAAUAUUGGCGAGAGACCGAUAGCGAACAAGUACCGUGAGGGAAAGAUGAAAGGCACUUUGGAAAGAGAGUUAAACAGUACGUGAAAUUGUUAAAAGGGAAACGAUUGAAGUCAGUCGCGUUUACUUGGACUCAGCCUUACCUCGGUUUGGUGCAUUUCCCUGUGAACGGGCCAGCGUCAAUGUUGUCCGUUGGAAAAGGGUUGGAGAAAUGUGGCUCUUUCGGGAGUGUUAUAGUCUCUGAUCGUAUACAACGGCGUAUAGUUGAGUUCUAGACGACUCGUGU
Molecule: ribosomal RNA, 604 nt
Filed under: uncultured Basidiomycota
Lineage: Eukaryota; Fungi; Basidiomycota
Description: LSU rRNA
Rfam family: Eukaryotic large subunit ribosomal RNA
Source: RNAcentral